RNAcentral lists this small RNA (537 nucleotides) under Pongo abelii (Sumatran orangutan). RNAcentral's name for it is "processed transcript". Lineage: Eukaryota; Metazoa; Chordata; Mammalia; Primates; Hominidae. The record is from RNAcentral.
GUAGGGAUGAAGAACAAUGUCAAAUGGGAGCUGAACCCUGAAAUAGUUGCCCGCCACUUCUUCAAGAAUCUUGGUGUUGUGGUUGCCCCACAUACAUUAAAGUUACCAGAAGAGCCUAUCACACGGUGGGGCGAGUAUUGGUGUGAGGUGACGGCAGCAAAGCAGAAUCAGGAGCAGUGGAGCAGAAAUGAGCAAGCACACUGAUCUCACUCCCAGCUCUGACCAAAUACAAAAUUUUAGAGAACAUCUGAAGACAUCAGACUGCACUGCAUAUACAUGUUGAAUUCUUCAUUUUUGCCAUCUUUAUCUUUAACUGUCAUCAGUGGGGCAGGGCAGUCUUGUUCCAGAAGUACCAGGCCGUAGAUUUGAUAAGCUAGAUGCAAUAGACCGAAACCAUCCAAAACCUGUUUAGCUUCUUCCUCCAUUGGAGUUUAUUGGGACAAACAGAAGAGCCAGCCAUUGUCUCCAGUACUUGCCUCAUUCUCAUCAUCCAAACUGAACAUUUGUAUCCCAAGCAGAAAUAAAGAGAUUAUGUUC